This 253-nucleotide ribosomal RNA is filed under the name uncultured bacterium. Its description in RNAcentral is "partial 16S ribosomal RNA". It matches the Rfam family "Bacterial small subunit ribosomal RNA", at positions 524 to 776 of the family's 1533-position model. The record is from RNAcentral.
UACGGAGGGGACUAGCGUUGUUCGGAAUUACUGGGCGUAAAGCGCACGUAGGCUGAUUUGUAAGUCAGGGGUGAAAUCCCGGGGCUCAACCUCGGAACUGCCUUUGAUACUGCAAAUCUCGAGUCCGGAAGAGGUGAGUGGAAUUCCUAGUGUAGAGGUGAAAUUCGUAGAUAUUAGGAAGAACACCAGUGGCGAAGGCGGCUCACUGGUCCGGUACUGACGCUGAGGUGCGAAAGCGUGGGGAGCAAACAGG